UUAACACAACCGAGCGCAAUAAAUUAAAAAAAGGAAAUUAGAAACCACACACAACUGAAACCAUAAUGAAGUGGAUUGUGAAGACUCUGCAGCAAAAUUGUCCUUCAAAACCUACGAAUCAUCUUUUCAAUAUAUGGUCGAAUUUAUUGGUUCGUUGAUUAUUGCGACAGGUUUUCUUGUAGUUAUGGUAAUUGUCAGAAGUCGUUUUAAAAAUAAUUCAUGCCCCUUUGACCCUUUUUUGCAUUUUGUCACGUUGCAACGAUGAGCUUUGAUGGAUUUUGUUGGUGUUUAUGUCAUAGUGCAAAAACAUAAAAUGGUGGUAAAACGACAUCCUUCUUUUUUAACAAGUUUUUAUUUUUUUCACAAUUUGUGCACAUAUUUGCAAAACAGCUCAAGCUUCGAUGGAUCAAUAACGAUAAUAAAAACAGAUUUUAGUUUCAUUAUAACAAAAUGCGGAGCUUACACAGAAGCACGGAAAGCUUCUCUGAACACCAACCAUACGGUCUUGCCACGGAUUCUCAGUCGUGUGUAGGUCUGGACUUUGACUGGGCCGUUCUAACGCAUGAAUCUGGACUGUUUCAUCGCAGCUCGUGCCACAAAUCAAGUAACGUUUAUUCGCACGCGAGACGUUUUUCCUGUCAAACGUUUUACAAGUAUUGCAUAAAGGAAACAAACUAUAAAAUAAAGUUAAAUCCAAUUAAACAAAAUUAAGUGUUACUCUGCCGUGAAGGUCAGAUUUAUUGACCAUUUCUCUCUCCAGCCUUUCAGCUUAGACUGUCCGCCAUUAAAACAUGUUCAGGCAGACGACUGGAUGACGUUUGAUUGGUUCCACAUGAUUUUAGUUUUGUGUGGGGGUAGCAGUGUAAAAGGAGCUUAAUUAAGAAGUAGGCCAUGCUCUUCAAGUGUUUAUUUGGGGAAACAAAAUGAAAACCAUGUCUUAUUUUCCCUUGACUUCACAUAAAUAUUCAGUUAAGAAACAUUGCAGCCAACUGGAAGCAGUCGUGUGUUUGAAGAGCUCCGGGUUGAUCUACGUCGUCUGCGUUCGCUUGCUGAAUAAAGAGCUGCGUUGCUCGGGAACUUUUUCAAUUCCUCUGAUUAAUUUUGGCCGUCAGCGAUGCUUAAAGGAGCCUAACGGAUCGCUGUGGCUUUACAGAUUUAUGGCGAUUAUGUAAGCGCUGCUCUUUAGCCGAAUAAACAAAUAAUUCAUCACUUCCAAGAUGAACAUCGGCUACCUGCAGCCCGACCUCGGUGGCGUUUAUGAACAGGAACGUGGCGGAGUGUUGUUUCCAUGGCGCCCGCUGACGGUAACAGAGAGAGAGGAACCCCGAGGGGUUCGGGGGGGUUGAUUAAAGUUUCACAAUCACUGGUGGACCCAAUUUGCUCCCUGUGUCAAAGGGAUAUAGUGGUUAUGGCUGUUGCCGUGGCGACCCUGGAGUGGGACGAGUCCCAGGAGGCCCUAGAGGUGUGAGAGAUGAAAGGUUAAAGAGGCCUAAAUUAGAUUCAAUCAAGGUGAAGUUAAGGUUGUUGUUGGAGGAUGGGCAGCUUUCGUGGUAUAUAACCGGAGAUAUGAUUGAAAUCGGAUCAUUUCUAUCAAUACACUCCAUUUUUUAUAAUUCAAAAAUGACAUAUCCAUCGAAUCAGAGACUCCUCACAGGAUUUAUGAAUCAAACAAGCGCUUUCUCCUGCUGCGGAGGAUGAGAGGAUGAGAUGGCCGCCAUUGGUACGACAGCAGGCGGACAUGUUUAUAACGUUGUUACGAUAAGUAGAAAGAGGCUGUCAGCCUGUUAAAGGCUCCUCUUACAGUAUGUACAUAAUAUUCUGAUACCUUUUCACUAGUUUGUGUGUCUUGUUUUCAUCUCAGUUAUGCUUACAGAUUUGUGGCUUUAGGUAAAUAACGCUCCAGUAUGCAGGGCCGGAGUUACAAGGAUAUGGGCCCCCGAGUUGCUGGUAGUUUGUUGUUUUGUUUGCAAUGUUUUAUUGCUUGUUUUCAGCUUUGUUAAUCUUUUAAAAAAAGUACAUAUUAAUUUGUCCAAAUAUGUUAGAAAAACACAAACUUUCAUAGAACUUACAGACUAUGUCACAUUUGGCACAACUGUAGUUUCAGCAGAUUUGUUGGCGUAUAAAAAUGCUGAUCCAAGAGAUUUUCUCUUAACUUUUCCCCUUUAUUACAGCACAGAAAUAAUUUAGAAAUGAGAGUAAAGUAGAAAAUAAUCAAUAAAAAGUGUAUUUUUUCAAUGAAUAACAUAUUCGAAACCAGAUAUUUGCAUACACCAAAGACACAGACGCACUUUUUUCUCACCGUGUGAAGUUAAGUUGGGCCAAACUUCUUGGUUUAGCUUAACUAGAAUUACCGACAGGACUUCUAUUUGCUUAGGAUAAUAAUAAAAAUUAUUUUGGAAAUCAUUUGGUGUAUGUAAAUGUCUGGUUUCGACCGUAACUAGAAUUUACACCUCGCUCUUGAUGAAGCCGUCUUCUCGACCGUUCUAAAACGUUCCGUAGAAAUCCAAGCACUUGUUUUUAAGGCUGUUCUCUCCCAAACAUCAACAUAAAAUCUGGUGUCGGUACGUCAGCAGGGUUCUGGACAACACCCUCUUCGUUUUCCACAAGUGCUCCGUCAGCUCUUCCAAUGCAGCCAGGGCAGCCUAAUCAAGAAUUCAUGCAGCUGCAAUUUCUGCUCUAAAUGCAUCGUUUUACAUUUAAAACUUGAUGGGG
Molecule: long non-coding RNA, 2712 nt
Organism: Xiphophorus couchianus (Monterrey platyfish)
Lineage: Eukaryota; Metazoa; Chordata; Actinopteri; Cyprinodontiformes; Poeciliidae
Exons: 2
Source: RefSeq, a predicted model, not a curated record